GUCACUGUGGUAGAACAGCAAAUAUACUGGACUGUGACUUAAAGGACAUGAGUUCAAAUCUCAUCUGAGUCA
This 72-nucleotide transfer RNA is filed under the name Urocitellus parryii (Arctic ground squirrel). RNAcentral's name for it is "Spermophilus parryii (Arctic ground squirrel) tRNA". It matches the Rfam family "tRNA". From Rfam's summary of the family: Transfer RNA (tRNA) molecules are approximately 80 nucleotides in length. Their secondary structure includes four short double-helical elements and three loops (D, anti-codon, and T loops). RNAcentral also lists the same sequence under 2 other names. The record is from Rfam by way of RNAcentral. Lineage: Eukaryota; Metazoa; Chordata; Mammalia; Rodentia; Sciuridae.